UAGUCCACGCCCUAAACGAUGUUUACUCGACAUUUGAGCUUCGGCUUGAGUGUCCAAGGGAAACCGAUAAGUAAACCACCUGGGGAGUACGUUCGCAAGAAUGAAACUCAAAGGAAUUGACGGGGACUUACACAAGCAGUGGAGCAUGUGGUUUAAUUCGAUGAUACGCGAGGAACCUUACCUAGGCUAUAAUGUGAGCGCUAUCUGGUGAAAGCCGGAGUUCCUUCGGGACGCGAAACAAGGUGCUGCAUGGUUGUCGUCAGCUCGUGCCGUGAGGUGUUGGGUUAAGUCCCGCAACGAGCGCAACCCCUAUUGUUAGUUGCCAGCGAGUAAUGUCGGGGACUCUAACGAGACUGCCCGCGUAAGCGGAGAGGAAGGUGGGGACGACGUCAAAUCAUCAUGGCCUUCAUGCCUAGGGCUACACACGUGCUACAAUGGCAGGUACAGAGGGUUGCGAAGGGGUGACCUGGAGCUAAUCUCAGAAAGCCUGUCCCAGUUCGGAUUGGAGUCUGC
Molecule: ribosomal RNA, 513 nt
Filed under: uncultured bacterium
Lineage: Bacteria
Description: bacterial SSU rRNA
Rfam family: Bacterial small subunit ribosomal RNA
Source: RNAcentral